RNAcentral lists this long non-coding RNA (220 nucleotides) under Mytilus galloprovincialis (Mediterranean mussel). The record is from RNAcentral. Lineage: Eukaryota; Metazoa; Mollusca; Bivalvia; Mytilida; Mytilidae.
UGGCUGGGCAUGAUAAGUGCUGUAAAUCAUAUAUUAAUUAUUAACAUGUACAUGUCUUUUAAUUAUUAAAUUACCUAGGGAGUAAACACUGAUAUCAAUUUGAUCCAUUUUACACCAUUUCUGCCUAACAUGCACUCUUAAGAUUUAAAGUUUACUAGGCCAGUUAGUGGUAUGAAAACUAUUACAGGAUUACCCAUGUUUAUUUUUACUCAUAUAUUUC